AUUAAAUGAGAGUUUGAUCCUGGCUCAGGACGAACGCUGGCGGCGUGCCUAAUACAUGCAAGUAGAACGCUGAAGACUUUAGCUUGCUAAAGUUGGAAGAGU
Molecule: ribosomal RNA, 102 nt
Filed under: Streptococcus equinus
Lineage: Bacteria; Bacillati; Bacillota; Bacilli; Lactobacillales; Streptococcaceae
Description: partial 16S rRNA. Bacterial SSU
Rfam family: Bacterial small subunit ribosomal RNA
Source: RNAcentral